AAUGUCACAGAGGAGUGCUUUGGCUGAGAUCGCAUGUGCGAAAUCCUAACAACCUGAUCUUGUUAAUACAAGCGUAGGGAUUGUGAACUUGAAUUCU
This 97-nucleotide non-coding RNA is filed under the name Streptococcus pseudoporcinus. Its description in RNAcentral is "TPP sequence". It matches the Rfam family "TPP riboswitch aptamer (THI element)". From Rfam's summary of the family: Vitamin B(1) in its active form thiamin pyrophosphate (TPP) is an essential coenzyme that is synthesised by coupling of pyrimidine and thiazole moieties in bacteria. The previously detected thiamin-regulatory element, thi box was extended, resulting in a new, highly conserved RNA secondary structure, the THI element, which is widely distributed in eubacteria and also occurs in some archaea. Analysis of operon structures identified a large number of new candidate thiamin-regulated genes, mostly transporters, in various prokaryotic organisms. The record is from RNAcentral. Lineage: Bacteria; Bacillati; Bacillota; Bacilli; Lactobacillales; Streptococcaceae.